Zonotrichia leucophrys gambelii is the source of this 6100-nucleotide long non-coding RNA. RefSeq lists it as uncharacterized. NCBI's taxonomy places the organism in Eukaryota, Metazoa, Chordata, Aves, Passeriformes, Passerellidae. The transcript has 3 exons. The record is from RefSeq and is a predicted model, not a curated record.
ACUGAAAUGUCUUUGUUUUGUGCAUUUGAUUUGAGUCAGGCCUUAACAAGGCAGGUGCACAGACAGGUGAGGAGGCUUGUGGCUUACAGACUGUCAGUAAUCACUGGCCAUCACAUGGAAAACCACUCAACAAAUAAAACAGUGAGAAGAAGACAGACAUUACAGUAGCCCUGUCAAAAAUAGCUGGAUUUCACAAAGUUCAGGGGGAGUUAAGUGAGAUGAAUAAGCUGCAGAGACAGCUGGGAGCACUGAGGACCUUUUGGGAAGUGGAAUCUUGCAAGGAUAACAGUGUUUGGGAGCUAUAUCAAGAAUACCAUGCAAUGCUGAGAUGAUCUAGAAGAGAUCCACUGACCUGCUGGAAAUUACAGAGGAAGGGAUUGAAAAUGAAACUAUGCAGGUAAAAGCUGGCCUGUGUGCCUUUACUUUAGCUUGUAAAAAUGGUAUCCACAAUUUCUUACCAAAGUAAGUGUAUUCUGAAGUAGAGAAGUCAAAAAAAUUUGCAGUUAAAAGCAGCAAAAUGUUUGAAAAUCACUUACCUGCAUUCCAAAGAGCAGUGAGGGUGGAAAGAAUGAAGAAAGAAACGUCUAAGCCAAUGAAUUUCAUAUUUUGUCCAGAUGAUUCAGGAUGGCUGAUUGUGCUAGUCUUCGUGCUAGUCUGGGAAAAGCCUUUAGUGGAAACGGGUGUCCAGAAAUAAACAAGAUUCUCUCUGUUCAAAGGUUUGUUGUAAAUUACUGAAGCAAAACAAACUGAAUGAAAUGCUCCAUUUCAGAGGUCAUCUCCAAUCAAGGAAAAGAUUGAAGGGGAGAUAGCCACUGCAACUCCUUCACAUUAACAGUCAAGUUUUUCUGAAAGGGAGGUAGAUGUUUAUUGUUUUACAAGCGUUUCUGCUUCAAAGCUCAAGGCCACGGGGUCAUUGGCAAAAGUUCUAUGCUUUAAUUUUGCUGGAGGAACUAAAACCUGUUAUCACUUAGAAGAAUGAUAAAGAAUACAUGCUGACAGUACAGUUCAGUUCAGAAGAUAAUGAGAUCUAGAGGAAGCAUGCUUACUGCACUGGAUGUGACAGCAUGAGGGCUGAUUUAAGUGAAGGCAGAUCCCUCCUCUUCCCUAAUUUUAAGGGGUUAAAUUGAAGGAAACUCACCCUUUUUCAUCAUUUUAAGGGCUUAAAUCAGAGGGUUCCCCUCCAUUUCAGAGCACUUCUGCCUGUUCCCCUGCACCACGUCUCUCGUGUGAGAGCAGUCCUUGCAUAUAUGCAGUUUUGGAGGUGGAAUUGAAAUUCCAGCAAUGGCAUCCAGGCAGAGAAUGGCAGCAAUGACAGCUCCUUUCCAUAGGAAGGAAAGCACGUAGUCCCAGUGUCUCAGGUGCAGGUGACAGGCUGUCCUGGGGAGGCGAAGUCCCCAAAUCCUCUCUGUCCUGGCAGCUUUUGUCUGGGAGCAAUCCUCGGAUAUAUUGAAUUUUGUGGGUGGAAUCCGAGCGGCGGGCACAUGAGCAGAGGCUGAGAUGACUCGCUGGUGGCACCUGGUGACUCACAGCGCUACUGCAGAGCAGAAAUGAGCCCUUGAGCAGCUCUUGCAAGGGAUAUUCGUGCUCAGUGACUGCAAACCAUCAACAUGCAUAGGAACAAGGAACUGUAGGCUGGAGCUGGGCUCUGGAAGCAAGGGAGCUGGAAGUGUUUAUUUAGAUAAACCCAUAUGUAGAAAUUCCCUUUUUGUCUCAUCGGUCUGGGUCUGUAGGACUGAAUCUUUGCAAUCAAGAGACAACAGAGUUGUUAGUAACACUUAGCUCAAAUCUCUCAAAUGUUGUUAUCUCUCAGAGAACUGGGCCAGCACUGAGCUAUCCCAUGUGCCUGGAGAGCUUUGGGGAGGGCAAGAUGAUGUCCCACUUCUGUCUGGAAAAAAUGGCAAGAAAAUAAAAAGCAGUUUCCCUUCUCUCUCUCUGACCUGUAACUGAAGCAGUUCUGUAGGACAACAUGGACAUCACUGCUCUCCCCCAGUUUGGAUGAAAUAUUAAUAUAGUUCAUAAAUAUUAUCUUUCCCUGCUCCUCAGUCCUUCACUGCACAGAGAGCAGAUUUACUCAGAUUUACUUUACAGAUUUACAGAUUUACUUUGUUCCCAACAGCACCUUUCCAGCCUGAGUCCCAGUUUUCACAGGCACAAACUAAACAGACCUAAGGCAUUGGUCUGUUAUUGCCUGGAAUUCCCAGCUCCAUGUUCCCUGGAUUGCUCAAACAAACACUCACAGCAGUCUCACCUCAGCCCAGAGACUGUGCUCAGAGUUAGCCCAUCACCAGUGCUGCUGGUUCAGAUCAGAAAGAUGGAGGAGCAGCAAUGCUGGGAUGGCCUUGGCAUGGCUUUCCUGGAGCUCUAGGCUCUUAGACUCUCUCAAGCCUAAGCCUAGCUCCAACCCUCACAAAAAAGAAUGUCUUGUGUAAGCUGUUGAGUCCUCUGCUGGAAGAGAGGGAGCAGCUCAUCAGGAAUGCACUUCCGUCAUCUCUCUUGGCUCAGGAACACCUUCAUUAUCAUGCACAGCCAGGAUAAACAGGAGGCUGCCAAGAGAAAGGAGCUUGACCAACACCUGCAGGGGCUUUACCAGCUCUGAAAAGCAUCCCUGCUGCUCUGCUCCCAAAGCAUGGGAGGGGCUCUAAUGCUGUCCUGAGCCUUGCAAAACAAGUGCUGAGUUUACUUCCCCUCUGCUCCCCACUUUCCUGUGUGCGUCCCUGAGGGUGAGCCAGCACAAAGCUGCCAGCAGGCUGCACUACCAGGCAGAGCUCGGAGUGCUCCUGCCCUCACUGUCUCACGUUUGUUUGGGCUGGGCCAGGCAGGUGUGCCCAGGGGAGCUCCGGGGCUGCACCCCAGUGCAAGAUUGCAGAGGGAAAGUGCUGCAUUGUUCUCUGUCUGCAGUCACCUUGCCUGAACCCAGCUCUGAGGCAUGCUGGCACAGAGGGAUGUGAAGAGCUAUGGUAAAUGUCAAGGAAUAAUUCUAACAUGGAUCAGGAAUACCCAACAUAGCACUGAACUUCUGAAGACAGAUAUUUUGGGUGUUUCCAGCACUGCAGCAGAACAGUUUGUGUAGCUGCUGUGUCAGGUUGAGCCCAUUGCUAUGCACAGAGCAGCAAAGAGAGUGUUGCUAUUGGACUUUUUCCUUCACUUCUUACUUCUUGAAGCCAUGAUUACAGAGCAGAUUCCAUUCUUUUUAAUGUCAGAAGGAAGGCCUGAAUGCAGUAGUUAGUAUUUAGUAUUUGGCAAACUAUGCUGGAUUAGGGCAGGGUGAACAGUAGGAGAAAUAUUAGAAGUUAAUAUUCUCAUUCUAAUCUUGCUUUUUAUAUGGAUUACAAGUUAUGUCACUAGGGACUCAUAUUCCAAACUGGAGACAAGCAGCCCCUUGUGAUGGCUGGUGAAAUCAGCACCAGGAGGGAAAAUGGAGCAGCAGCCAGCUGGGGAGGCAAUGCCCUCCCAGGAGCUCCUCAGCUCAGUCCUGGUGCAAGAACAGGUCACAAACUUCUCUGGUGGGUGUUUGACUCAAGGCCUGUCUUCUGAAUCCUUUCCUCAGUGCUCCCAAGCUUCCCUCCUUGGGCCAUGAGCCAAGGAAUCAGGGAUAUCAACCAAGAGACCGUUUGUUUUUCCACGGGCUGUGUAGAUUGUGCUGUUGUUAUCAGCGAAACCAGGGCUGCUGGUGGCCUCCUGCUCUGCGGGCGGUGGAGGGCUCUGAUCUCCUGCUCCUGUUCUUUCUGAGGGUGGGGCAGCACCUUGCACGAGUUUCCAGAGCACCAAACAUGAGGUGAGCACUCUGAAACUGCUUCCAAAGACAAGCUGGUCCUACCACAGCUGUGUAUUUGGGCUUGCAGCAGAUGUGAGAGUGGUAGGUCAUCAUACCUGUGUGGUUGUGCAGCCAGAAUUGCUGAGCUUUCCAGUGCUCCUGUCCUUGCUCUGAGAUAAGGACAGGAAAAUGCUGUUGUUUUGAAGGUGCUGUUUAUCUGGUUAAGGGUUUUCUCUGGUCAAGUGGGGUGUAACAAGGCUGGAGCAGUUUUGAAGAAGGUCCAAGUCUGGAUUUUCGCUCAGAUCUGGAGCCAAAGAUCUCUGUCCUUUGGUGUUUGGUUCAGUUCUGCUCACAGCCCCACAGACAGAGGAUUUACCCGUGGGAGAUUCUGCUCUGUGCUGUUCUCCAUAAUCAACAGCCAUCCUUGAUGCACACCCUGAUAAGGCUCCAGGAAUCCACUCAUCCUGCUGUGAUAAAACCCUGUGCUGGUGCUCCAGCCCUGCACACCUGGGCACAGCCCUGGAGCAGCCUCUGCCUCUCUCGUGUGCCGAUUUGGCUCAUUUCCAGCUCUGUCUCUCUUUUGCUUCUCCCAUCCUCACAAAACCAAAGGCAAUCGUGUGUGUGUGCUUCAAGAGCCUUGCCAGGAACAAAGAGAAGUCCAAAUAUUUGUAUUGGGUUGUUACUCUUUCCAUUCAGGCAAUAAAUGACAGACUGCAGCAGAGUCUUUGUGUGCUGUGUGGGAUUUCCACUGUGCUGGCUCCAGCUUCACAGCCUCACCAAGAUGAAACACCUACAAUUAACAGUUGGGCUUUAACUGGAGGGAAAAUGACUGAGUGUGAUUGAAAUAUGGCCUUAAAAAAAACCCCCACCAAAACCCAAAACAAAAACCCACAAACAAACCAACCACAAAAAAAAAAACCUUGAGAAAAAUCUGCAGACCUUUCCUGUGUCAGAUGAGAAGUGCCUGGUCUCUGUGUGCAUGCAGAACAGAAUUUUCACUCCGAACUCUGGGAGCUGUGUUGGGGAUUUCUGUCCCAGAGCCUGGGACACAAGCUGAACACAGAUAUUUCUGAGCUGCUUUCCUCUGCAAAGUUCCAAGCUUAAAUCCAUGUGGAGGCCUGAGUUUCCUUGGGACUGAACUCUUUUUGUCUGAGCUUACCAAUAGGAUGAAGAUGUUUGCUAACAAAUUAAUUCCUGAACUUCAGAUCUCUGCUUCUGGGAAGAAGCUGGGCUUCAGUGCUUGGUAAAUCGAGGAAGAGAAUGGUGAGACAGCUCCAGGUGUGAGCUAGCUCAGGACACAAGCUGGUCUGCUGUCACUGGGACUGUUCAAAAUUUGAGAUAAAGGAAGGAAAAGCAUAAUCCAGCCUUGUGGGAUUUCACAUACCAACAUGCCAGACAAAUUCUGCUUGCUCUCUCAAGUAAAUUUGGUGUUCCCUGCUAGUGCCACCAUGAGUUUUCUCACUCAGAAGUUUCUUAUCAGGAAUUAAUUAGCCCUGAAACCUUAAGGAUUGACUCUUCAAACAUAAAUACUCCCUACAAUUACCUUCUCUUUGGAUGAUAUCUUUAGUGUUUCAUUUUACACAGCAGACAGUACUAAUAUUAUAACAUCAAGUUAAAUCACAUCUCCUUUGGGCAACUGAAAAGCUAUCAAAAGUGACAGGACCUUUAGAAAAAAACCUAAUAUCAGAAAAGAAUCAUGUCAGAAAUCUUGAUGGCUUCCUUUUUUAUCCUAUUCAUUACACAUAGCAGGGAAAAGCAGCACUGUUUGAGUCUGCUUCAGCUGCUGUUUCCUACAAGGAUCUAUUCUGGCAGACUCUUUAAGCUCCUUCCUUCUGAGGUCACUUCUGAGAUCACAUAAGAGCUGAGGAACCUCCCUCAGCCUGCUUCACCAAGUGCUCUGUCCUGUUUUGCUUCUGGGCUCAGGCUGGCACUUGAGAGUUACACCUACCUGGGUGUAAUAAAGUUUGUGGAUGUUUCAGGCAGAGAGUAGAAGGUGGAUAGAAUCUAUAUGGUCCACAUUAAAACUGCUAAAUUCAAUUUAUUACCACAGCCUGACCCCAACCUUCACUGACUGACACCUUUGAGGAGAGGAUGGCAGAGGGAUAAAUCCUUUCCUGCCCUUGAGUCUUCAUUACUGGCAGUUAGGAGAGGUCAAGGGCACAAGGAGAGAAUUUUGCCAAACAUAUUUAUUUUUCAAGAUACAUGAAAUAUAGGUCUGAAACCCUUCACCAAGGCUAUGUGUGCAUCACUAUUUAAAACCAGUUGAUUGAUAACAGUUCUUGGAAUUAGUCCAAGGAAUUCUGUUGGAAAUUUUCUGGAAAAUACAAACCUGUUACAGCCAAGUAC